GGCAGGAUGGCCGAGCGGUUAAGGUGGUAGGUUCAAGUUCUACUGGGGGCAACCCCGCCAGGGUUCGAAUCCCUGUCCUGUCA
This 83-nucleotide transfer RNA is filed under the name Coccidioides immitis RMSCC 3703. Its description in RNAcentral is "tRNA-Leu (CAA) (tRNA-Leu-CAA-2-1)". It matches the Rfam family "tRNA". From Rfam's summary of the family: Transfer RNA (tRNA) molecules are approximately 80 nucleotides in length. The record is from RNAcentral. Lineage: Eukaryota; Fungi; Ascomycota; Eurotiomycetes; Onygenales; Onygenaceae.